This 446-nucleotide ribosomal RNA is filed under the name uncultured bacterium. RNAcentral describes it as "partial 16S ribosomal RNA". It matches the Rfam family "Bacterial small subunit ribosomal RNA", at positions 338 to 795 of the family's 1533-position model. The record is from RNAcentral.
CCUACGGGGGGCAGCAGUCGAGAAUCAUUCACAAUGGGGGAAACCCUGAUGGUGCGACGCCGCGUGGGGGAAUGAAGGUCUUCGGAUUGUAAACCCCUGUCAUGUGGGAGCAAAUUAAAAAGAUAGUACCACAAGAGGAAGAGACGGCUAACUCUGUGCCAGCAGCCGCGGUAAUACAGAGGUCUCAAGCGUUGUUCGGAAUCACUGGGCGUAAAGCGUGCGUAGGCUGUUUCGUAAGUCGUGUGUGAAAGGCGCGGGCUCAACCCGCGGACGGCACAUGAUACUGCGAGACUAGAGUAAUGGAGGGGGAACCGGAAUUCUCGGUGUAGCAGUGAAAUGCGUAGAUAUCGAGAGGAACACUCGUGGCGAAGGCGGGUUCCUGGACAUUAACUGACGCUGAGGCACGAAGGCCAGGGGAGCGAACGGGAUUAGAUACCCCUGUAGUC